This 253-nucleotide ribosomal RNA is filed under the name uncultured bacterium. RNAcentral describes it as "partial 16S ribosomal RNA". It matches the Rfam family "Bacterial small subunit ribosomal RNA", at positions 524 to 776 of the family's 1533-position model. The record is from RNAcentral.
UACAGAGGUCUCAAGCGUUGUUCGGAUUCAUUGGGCGUAAAGGGUGCGUAGGCGGCGCGGUAAGUCGGGUGUGAAAUCUUGGAGCUUAACUCCGAAACUGCAUUCGAUACUGCCGCGCUUGAGGACUGGAGAGGAGACUGGAAUUUACGGUGUAGCGGUGAAAUGCGUUGAUAUCGCUAGGAACUCCGGUGGCGAAGGCGAGGUGCUGGACCCUUUCUGACGCUGAGGCGCGAAAGCCAGGGGAGCGAACGGG